RNAcentral lists this small nucleolar RNA (130 nucleotides) under Leptobrachium leishanense (Leishan spiny toad). RNAcentral's name for it is "Small nucleolar RNA SNORA68 (ENSLLEG00000022717.1)". It matches the Rfam family "Small nucleolar RNA SNORA68". From Rfam's summary of the family: U68 is a member of the H/ACA class of small nucleolar RNAs (snoRNAs) which act as guides in the the modification of uridines to pseudouridines. The record is from Rfam by way of RNAcentral. Lineage: Eukaryota; Metazoa; Chordata; Amphibia; Anura; Megophryidae.
UGCACACAUAACCCAAAGUUCAUUAACCUUUCUGUGUAAUGAUCUUGUCUGAUGUGCACAAAUAAUCUGCAUCCUGUCGCCUUCCAUGGACUGACGUGUCUGUGAAAGUGAAUACUGAGAUGCUACAUGU